This 2562-nucleotide long non-coding RNA is filed under the name Cricetulus griseus (Chinese hamster). RNAcentral's name for it is "lncRNA (ENSCGRG00015042531.1)". The record is from RNAcentral. Lineage: Eukaryota; Metazoa; Chordata; Mammalia; Rodentia; Cricetidae.
UGCGAUGUCACUUAUCCCCACAGUUGCUGGCACAUUCUGAUUCCCUUGUAAGUUUUGCAUGAAGUCCAUUGUGUUGCUACACAGAAGAGCCACUGGACAUAACACACAUAUUCCACAGCUAUCUGCAUCAGCUUGUGAGUGUGAUACGAGCAGAUUCCUGUCACCAUCAUCACUGCUGAAAACAAGAGCCAAGGAAAAUAGAAAGAGUGAGUGUUUCAUCAUAGAUAGUUAAAUAAAGCCAGUGAGUAAUCCUAGGUUACCAACAAACACUAAUAAUAGCAAGCCAGAUUUCUUCUCUGCAAAUGAACCUGACGCUUCUGCUCUCAGUCUGCCUUCAAAGGCUGCUCCAGAUCUGUGGCCAAAGGACUGUGCAUUGUGGAGACACUGCAUACAGAAGGACUCAGCCCAAAAGACAAGAACUGACAAAUCAGGUGUCAUCAGAGACCUCAGAAAGCACCAGGAAUGUAUCAGCAUGUCACCAGUAUCAAUUAAUGGUUAAUUCUGAUUCCAAAUGUCUGGCAAGAACAUCUCAGUACCUGGGAAAAACCUGUGGGACAUGUUCUUUUUUUUCCACUUAAAAAUAAGUUAAAGUGGGCUUCGGGGUUGAGAAAACACAGUAAGUUCAGCAGUAGAAAACACUGAAGUCAAGUGGCAAACCUAAGAUGCUGGUUUUAUGGUCUGGGGUUUUGUUUGCUCUGCUUUCUGGUACCUACUAUGUGGUCUCAAUUCCAGCCCAUACUGACCCCAGGAACUCAGAGGACACAUGUCUGAUGUGAAUCCAGUCUAUAGAAUCAGAAAGAUACAUGAUGAAUGCUGAAGUCCCAGAGAAAUCCUAGCGAGCUACUGGUCUUCUGUCUACACUGCAAUAUGGAAGAAGUAGGUUCUGCUCAGCAACAAAAUAGAUGAACUUGCCAAUAAAAGUGAAGAAUACAAAUAGAUCCAUCCUCAACUCCAAAUGCAUCAAAGACAUCAACGCAAAACCAGGUACACUGAACCAGAUAGAAGAGAAAGUGCAAAGUUUCCUUGAACUCAUUGGCACAGGAGAAGACUUUCUGGACAGAACACCAUUAGCAUAGAUAACAAGAUCAACAAUUAAUAAAUAGGACUUCAUGAAACUGAAAAGUUUCUGUAAGGCAAAGUUCAGCAUCAUUCAGACACAGUGGCAGCUUACAGAAUAAGAAAAGAUUUUUAUCAACUCUACAUCCAAUAGAGGACUAAUAUCCAAAAUAUAUAAAGAACACAAGACAUCAGAUACCAAAAUAACAAUCCAAUUUUAAAACUAAUUUAUAAAUUUAAACGGAGAAUUAUUAAAAGAAGAAACUCAAAUGGCCAAAACACUUAGAGAACUGUUCAACAUCCUUAGUCAUCAAAGAAAUGCAAAUGAAAAGCACUUUGAGAUUCCAUCUUAUACCUGUCAGAAUGGCUCAGAUCAAUAAACACAAAUGAAAGCUCAUGCUCAUAAGGAUGUGGAAUAAGUGGAGCAUUCCCCCAUUGCUAGUGGGAGUGCAAACUUGCAAGCCGCUAUGGAAAUCAGUAUGGUGGUUCUUCACAAAGAUGGGAAUUGAUCUACUUCAGUAUCCAACUGUACCACUCUUGGGCAUACACCCAAAUGAUGCUUCUUCCUACCAUAAGGACACUUGCUCAAGAAUCAUUUCCAUUCAUAAUACUCAGAAAUUGCAAACACCCUAGAUGCCCCUCAACAGAAGAAUGGAUAAAGAAAAUAUGGUACAUUUAUACAAUGGAGUAUUACACAGCUAUGUUUUUUUUAAUGGCAUCACAAAAUUUACAGGCAAAUGGAUGGAAGUAGAAAAAAAAUCAUCCUGAGUAAGGUAGCCCAGACCCAGAAAGAUUAAAUAUGUUGUGUAUUUGCUUAUACCUGUAUAUAGGACAUUAAAUAAAUGACAAUCAAUUUCUAUUUCAUAGACCAAGAAAGGUUGGGUAUAGAGGAAGGGACUAGAAGGAAACACAUGGAUUUCCUUGGGAGAUGGAAAUAGAAUACAUUUUAUGAGUUUCCUGGGGGCAAUGGAAGGACAGAAAUGAGUAUGCGGUAGGGAGAGAGAGAUAAGAUGGAUUUGAGUGAGGGAAUGUAGAUAGAGACUGCUGGAAUUAAAUCAAACUUCCUAAAAUAUAUGAAAGCAGGGUGUCGGUGGUGCAUGGCUUUAAUCCCAGCACUCAAGAGGCAGGCAGAUCUCUGUGAGUUCGAGGCCACCCUGGUCUACAGAGAGAGUUCCAGGACAACCUCAAAGCUACACAGAGAAAGCCUGUCUGGAAAAAAAACUUAAAAUAUAUGAAUGUGAUCCAGAUAUCAGAUGAAGUCUCCAAAUAAUGAGGGAAACAGAGUCCCAAGUGGCCAUCUCUUGUCACCAAAUGAAUCUUCCAGUACAGGAAAUGGGUUACAUCCAACUGAGUUGUUGGACAAAGGGAUCCCAUGGGAAUCUCCAAACAACCAAGGCUGUUGCCAUGAUCAGAGAAGCAGAACAUGGGAACAAACACAGAUAUUUCACACACACACACACACACACACACACACACACACACACACACAGAGAGAGAGAGAGAGAG